Dioscorea cayenensis subsp. rotundata (Guinea yam) is the source of this 812-nucleotide long non-coding RNA. RefSeq lists it as uncharacterized. The transcript is spliced from 5 exons. Lineage: Eukaryota; Viridiplantae; Streptophyta; Magnoliopsida; Dioscoreales; Dioscoreaceae. The record is from RefSeq and is a predicted model, not a curated record.
CGAUCCUUUCCCCAAAACCCUCUCUCUCUCUCUCUCUCUCUUCUCCGGCGAAUGAAUGAUCGGAGCUCCGGCGAUAUCUCAUUAAGUGUAGGCUAAUACUGCGGAGGAAAGCGAGGUGGUGAAGAUUUCCAACGAAGGAGACCAGAAUCUUGAAGAUAACGUAGCACUCGCGCUAGGUAGGCCAAAGCGAAGGAGAAAACCCGUCGAUUGUCAUCGAACGGAGGAUUUCCGGGAGAAGAAGAAGCCCCUUCACAUCCCGGAGGGCAAAGGAAUUAAGCUGAGGGACAUCAAGAAGGUGUCUUCAAAUUUGAGAAAGAGAGAGAUUGAUGCUGUUCUGAAAAAUUUUCAUGCUAUUCUUUCUGGGGUAAAGGUGAAGAACAAAGAUCUGAAAAGAAAUAUACUGUGAUUCUCUGGUUUUUUACGGGGUCCUCAAGAGGAGUGAGUUAUCUGUUGUCAAUGAUAUGGAUGAGAAUGCAGUUCUGCAGAUGCUAGAAGAACUUGGUGGCAAUGAGUUACCUGCUGUCAAUGACAUGGAUGAGAAUGCAAUUCUUCAGAUGAUCCGGGGAAUACCAGGUUGGAAGGUGAUGCAAAUCCUGGAAGGCAAGCUGGAGCUUCUAAACCUGAGGAUUUCACCAUUAUUUGUUGCCUUGUAAAACUAUGCAAACAUAGAAAUAGUCAAGCUUGUUUUUGGAUAGUAGUAUGAGGCAGAUUAUAGCCUUCUUGUCUUUGACUUCUAUAUAUAUAUAUAUAUAUAUUGUAAUAUUCUCUUGUAAAAGAUGUACUGAAAAAAAAUUAUUGAAUAAAUAAAACAA